Molecule: long non-coding RNA, 3467 nt
Filed under: Delphinapterus leucas (beluga whale)
Lineage: Eukaryota; Metazoa; Chordata; Mammalia; Artiodactyla; Monodontidae
Description: lncRNA (ENSDLEG00000006383.1)
Source: RNAcentral
AUGACUCGCCUUUACGCCAACUUGACUGGGUAUGAAACUCUUCGAUCAUACGUUCAUUCCCUAAGGUCUUUGGAGGCAUCGGAUCAUACCUGGGGAACCUGCCCCAGUGCCUGUCACCGAGGAGCACCUGACCCAGGCCCAGCCGCCGAUCCUACUGUGAGAAAGGGGAGUCCUCUGUCAUCUGGUCCCGCUGAUGUCGUCUGCAGCCCAGACCAUAAACCAAGGACCGUGGAAGUUCAAGUGAACGAAUCAGCUCCCAUGAGACAGCUGGAAGAAGUAAGGAUCUGUUAGUUCACUUGGAGUGGCCCUACGCCCGGCGGAAGGAGUUCCAGGGCACUUAGCCCAGGCCAGGUGAGCUUCAGCGACACCACGUGGGAGCUGGGCAUUCACAAGGGGCAUUUCCGUUACACCGGGUGAGCACGUGGUGGCCACAAUGCCCCACCUGGAGGGCUCAGCCUCCACCAUCGGUGUGACAACCUCUUCAUAAACAGUCCCUUCCACGUCCUGGAGAGCCUUGUGGCUUGAUUUCAUCUCCCCUCUGACACAGCAGCACUGAAUUAAGAAUUUCUGCUGAAGGGAAACUGUCAACGGUAGGGGCCAGAGUAUGUCCUUUUCGGACAGCCUUCCCGGAUCCAUCUUGGCAGCCCUCUUUGUUGCCAGACUCAGGUUCGGCUGCUCAUUGCUCAAGAAUCCAACACUGAGAGACAAGUGCUGGGUAGAAGGAAAGACAGCUUUACUGGGGAAGCUGGGGAGAAGGUGGACUCAUGUCCCCAAGAACCAGCUCCUCCCUCCCCAGGUUUUGCUCAGAGAUUUUAUAGGGAAAAGAGGAAGGGGCUACGUGCUGGGAAGGGGUUGUGGGGUGUGUAUCAGCUCGUGCACGCUCUUCUGAUUGGCUGGUGGUGAGCUAACCGAGAGUCAGUGUCAUCAGCCUUCUGGUUCCAGCCAGUCAGGGUCUCCACGCCGGUGGUCAGCGUGCAGGUAACUUCUUCCACCUGCUGGGGUUUCAGUCUCUGCAAAACAGCUCAAAGGAUGUGGCUCAGAAUAUGAUCUCUGGCCCUUGAGGAGGAACUAAAGGUCCUUGACUCUGUCUAAUGGCUAAACUAUUAUUAUUUUGUCUUGCUUGACUAUUUUCCUUUGUUUCUGCAUAUUCUCAUUUCCCUGAUUAAAUUAAAUUUAUUCCUUGGAACUCAGAAAAGGCCUCAGAGGCUAAAGGUUUUCUACAGACGAGAGGCAGGUGGAGGACGGGGGUGCUGUUUGUUCGGGGAGACCCCAUAGGGCCCUCCUGCUCAGUGACAGCCUGACCCCUGAUCACAGAGAGCAUGAAAGGCCACAGAGGCAGUGGACCCUGGCCUGGGGUAUCUUCCAUGAUCCACCCUCUACUGGGUUGAAUAGUGUUCCAAAAAAAUUCAUGUCCACCUGCGACCUCCAAAUGGGACCUUUUUUGGAAAUACGGUCUUUGCAGAUGUAAAUAGGUUAAGACAAGGUCAUAUUGCAGUAGGGUGGACCCCAAGUCCAAUGACUUGUAUCCUUCUAAGAAGAGGAAAUUUGGACAGAGAGACACAUGGGGAGAACACUGUGUGAGGACAGAGGCAGAGGUUGGAGGGAUGCAGCUACAAGCCCAGGAAUGCCAGGGAUUUUCCACAACCUCUAGAAGCUAGAGAGGGGCGUGGGACAGAUUCUCCCCCAGAACCUUCAGAAGGAACCAGCCCUGCCAGCACUUUAAUUUUAGGACUUCUCACCUCCAGAUUGUGUGAGAAUAUGUUUCUGUUGCUUUAAGACACUCAGUUUGUGGGGUCAUUUGUUACAGCAGCUGCAGGUCACACACAUACACACCACCACCACUCCUAGCUACACCCACCCUAGCACCCCCCCUAGUUCUGCCCACACCCCCCUUGUUCAGGCGGCCCAUUCAGCUCCUCUCUCUGACUUACCAACCAUGGCAGAAAAAAGAAAAGAUUUUACUCUUUAAAAAGUGCAUGUAGGGGCUUCCCUGGUGGCACAGUGGUUGAGAGUCUGCCUGCCGAUGCAGGGAACACGGGUUCGUGCCCCAGUCCGGGAAGAUCCCACAUGCCGUGGAGUGGCUGGGCCCGUGAGCCAUGGCCGCUGAGCCUGCGCGUCCAGAGCCUGUGCUCUGCAACGGGAGAAGCCGCAACAGUGAGAGGCCCACGUACUGCAAAAAAAAAAAAAAAAAAAAGGUGCACGUAGGACUUCCCUGGAGGUCCAGUGGUUAAGAUUCUGUGCUCCCAAUGCAGGGGGCAUGGGUUUGAUCCCUGGUUGGGGAACUAAGAUCCCACAUGCCACACAGUGUGGCCUAAAAAAUUUUUUUUAAAGUGCAUGUAACUAUUCACGAUAGCCAAGACACGGAAGCAACGUAAAUGUCCAUCGACAGAGGAAUGGAUAAAGAAGAUGUGGUACAUAUAGACAAUGGACUAUUACUCAUCCAUAAAAAAGAAUGAAAUAAUGUCAUUUGCAGCAACAUGGGUGGACCUAGAGAUUAUCAUAGUAAGUGCAGUAAGUCAGACUGAGACAAAAUACCAUAUGAUAUCACUUAUACGUGGAAUCUAUAAUAUGACACAAAUGAACUUUAUCUACAAAACAGAAACAGACUUACAGACAUAGAGAACAGCCUUGUGGUUGCCAAGGGGGAGGAGGGGUGGGGGAAGGAAGGAUUGAGAGUUUGGGACUAGCAGAUGCAAACUGUUCUACAUAAAACGGAUGAAAACCAAGGUCCUACUGUAUAGCAUGGGGAACUGUAUUCCAUAUCGUGUGAUGAACCAUAAUGGAGAAGGAUAUGAAAAAGAAUGUACAUGUAUAUGUGUAACUGAAUCACUUUGCUGUACAGCUGAAACUAACACAACACUGUAAAUCAACUCUACCACAAUAAAAUAAAUGCUUAAAAUAAUGUAAUUUAAUUUUUAAAAAUUAAAAGCUCAUUUAAGACCAGGUAUUUCGCAGGUAUGACUUCUCCCCCCACUUUCUAAUCUACGCAGGUCCCAGCUGCAUUUGCUCUGUGUCACAUCAGGGAGAAAGGAUCAGGAGAAACCCUCUCUCCUUGAGUGGGUGGUGGAGGGAGAGGUGGGCAAGACCCCUGGGCCCCUCUCUCUCUCCCACCCACCCCACCACACCCCCGGCCAUCGGGACAGGGUGGGCCUUGACUCCACCGGACACUAACUACAGUCCUGUCACCCCGAACUGUAAAAUCCUCCCAUGGUCCCCUGCCGGCUCGACCUUUAGCAUCGGAAUCAGCGGUUCCGCACCUCAUGCCCACACGUUUUUAAUUGUGAUAAAAUACACGUAACAUAGAAUUUCCCAUCUCAGCCAUGUUACACGCACAGUUCAGUGGCAUUAAGUAGAUUCACAUUGCUGCGAACCAUCUCCACCAUCCGUCUCCAGAACUUUCCAUCUUCCCAGACUGAAGCUCUGUCCCCAUGAAACACUCGCUCCCCCUCCCCUCCCCCAGCCCCGGG